CCGCGAUAUCGAAGAUGAUAGCAUCAAAUUUACACAGUGGCUAUAUGAUCGACAAUCGCUUGUCAUUCGACAAUUAGGACAAAACUGGCUGGGGAAACCCCGUUGAAAGAUUUCAACCUGUUGGGUAAAAGUCGCAAUUUUUUGGUCUUCAUUAUGGUUCUAUUCCACAAGUUCAAGUGAUGCCUCUUCCUCGCCGUUGCCCCACAGGGUCAAUUACGAGAAUUGAAGAAAACAAUUGAAUUACUUUUUCUUACCUUGAGAAGCUUUGUGUGGCACAAAUAGGAUUUUUUUGGCAAGGUCAUCCAUUUUUUAUAGGCUGCUGCUCCACGAGAAACUCGACGAGCGUGUAAACAUGAAACAAAACAAACACGAACACGAAAAAAUUUUAAAAGGGAAUCACCCGAGUUUUCUUCAAUAUUCAAUCCGUUAAUUUCUCAAUAGUAUUUCGUCCGAUUAAAAACCAUUUACUGUUACUUGCGCAUUGCAAUCUAGCAAUAGCCUAAAAUACUGAAAUGUAAAAUUAAAAAACUGUCUGAAUAAAUUCCAAAAUGUACAACCUA
Molecule: long non-coding RNA, 560 nt
Organism: Daphnia magna
Lineage: Eukaryota; Metazoa; Arthropoda; Branchiopoda; Diplostraca; Daphniidae
Exons: 2
Source: RefSeq, a predicted model, not a curated record